GUGGGGAAUAUUGGGCAAUGGGCGAAAGCCUGACCCAGCAACGCCGCGUGAAGGAAGAAGGUUUUCGGAUCGUAAACUUCUAUCCUUGGUGAAGAUAAUGACGGUAGCCAAGAAGGAAGCCCCGGCUAACUACGUGCCAGCAGCCGCGGUAAUACGUAGGGGGCAAGCGUUGUCCGGAAUGAUUGGGCGUAAAGGGCGCGUAGGCGGCCCGGUAAGUCUGAAGUGAAAGUCCUGCUUUUAAGGUGGGAAUUGCUUUGGAUACUGUCGGGCUUGGGUGCAGGAGAGGUAAGCGGAAUUCCCGGUGUAGCGGUGAAAUGCGUAGAGAUCGGGAGGAACACCAGUGGCGAAGGCGGCUUACUGGACUGUAACUGACGCUGAGGCGCGAAAGCGUGGGGAUCGAACAGGAUUAGAUACCCGAGUAGUCC
Molecule: ribosomal RNA, 425 nt
Filed under: uncultured bacterium
Lineage: Bacteria
Description: partial 16S ribosomal RNA
Rfam family: Bacterial small subunit ribosomal RNA
Source: RNAcentral